This 119-nucleotide ribosomal RNA is filed under the name Triticum aestivum (bread wheat). The record is from RNAcentral. Lineage: Eukaryota; Viridiplantae; Streptophyta; Magnoliopsida; Poales; Poaceae. RNAcentral also lists the same sequence under 1 other name.
GGAUGCGAUCAUACCAGCAGUAAAGCACCGGAUACCAUCAGAACUCCGAAGUUAAGCGUGCUUGGGCGAGAGUAGUACUAGGAUGGGUGACCUACUGGGAAGUCCUCGUGUUGCAUUCU